RNAcentral lists this ribosomal RNA (497 nucleotides) under uncultured bacterium. RNAcentral's name for it is "partial 16S ribosomal RNA". It matches the Rfam family "Bacterial small subunit ribosomal RNA", at positions 28 to 507 of the family's 1533-position model. The record is from RNAcentral.
GAUGAACGCUGGCGGCGUGCCUAAUACAUGCAAGUCGAGCGAACGGACGAGAAGCUUGCUUUUCUGAUGUUAGCGGCGGACGGGUGAGUAACACGUGGAUAACCUACCUAUAAGACUGGGAUAACUUCGGGAAACCGGAGCUAAUACCGGAUAAUAUUUUGAACCGCAUGGUUCAAAAGUGAAAGACGGUCUUGCUGUCACUUAUAGAUGGAUCCGCGCUGCAUUAGCUAGUUGGUAAGGUAACGGCUUACCAAGGCAACGAUGCAUAGCCGACCUGAGAGGGGGAUCGGCCACACUGGAACUGAGACACGGUCCAGACUCCUACGGGAGGCAGCAGUAGGGAAUCUUCGGCAAUGGGCGAAAGCCUGACGGAGCAACGCCGCGUGAGUGAUGAAGGUCUUCGGAUCGUAAAACUCUGUUAUUAGGAAAGAACAUAUGUGUAAGUAACUGUGCACAUCUUGACGGUACCUAAUCAGAAAGCCACGGCUAACUACGUG